UGGGCUGCCUGGAGGCUCAAGUGCCACC
This 28-nucleotide non-coding RNA is filed under the name Homo sapiens (human). The record is from RNAcentral. Lineage: Eukaryota; Metazoa; Chordata; Mammalia; Primates; Hominidae.